RNAcentral lists this long non-coding RNA (535 nucleotides) under Zea mays. Its description in RNAcentral is "long non-coding RNA (ZMAY_LNC004591)". Lineage: Eukaryota; Viridiplantae; Streptophyta; Magnoliopsida; Poales; Poaceae. The record is from RNAcentral.
CACGGUCGGGUGAGGAGGGAGUUCAGGCUUUGGCAGCUCUGGCGCGACUUGGUGAGGCACCUCAGGCUUUGGAAGCUCUGGGACGGCCGGGUGAGGAGGCAGUUCGGGCUUGGGCAGCUCCGGCACUGGGUGCGGCACCUCAGGUUUCGGGAGCUCCGGGACGGCUGUCGGCUGCGGUGGCACCUCGGGCUUGGGCAGCUCCGGCACUGGGUGCGGCACCUCAGACUUCGGCAGCUCGGGCACGGCCGCCGGGUGCGGUGUCAGCUCGGGCUUGGGCAGCUCCGGCACUGGGUACGGCACCUCAGGUUUCGGGAGCUCAGGGACGGCUGUCGGGUGCGGUGGCACCUCGGGCUUGGGCAGCUCCGGCACUGGGUGCGGCACCUCUGGUUUCGGGAGCUCAGGGACGGCUGUCGGGUGCGGCACCUCCGGUUUCGGGAGCUCUGGCACGGCCGCCGGGUGCGGUGUCAGCUCGGGCUUCGGCUGCUCCGGCACCGGAUGAGGCACCUCAGGCUUCGGCAGCUCGGGGACAACGGCC